GAUUAACGCUAGCGGCAGGCCUAAUACAUGCAAGUCGAACGGUAACAGGUCCAGCAAUGGAUGCUGACGAGUGGCGCACGGGUGCGUAACACGUAUGCAACCUACCUUUAACUGGAGGAUAGCCCCGAGAAAUCGGGAUUAAUACUCCAUAACAUUAUGAUGGGGCAUCUCAUUAUAAUUAAAGCUCCGGCGGUUUUAGAUGGGCAUGCGCGACAUUAGCUAGUUGGUGAGGUAACGGCUCACCAAGGCUACGAUGUCUAGGGGUUCUGAGAGGAUUAACCCCCACACUGGUACUGAGACACGGACCAGACUCCUACGGGAGGCAGCAGUAAGGAAUAUUGGUCAAUGGACGCAAGUCUGAACCAGCCAUGCCGCGUGAAGGAUGACGGCCCUAGUGGUUGUAAACUUCUUUUGUACGGGAAAAAACCUCCGGUCGUGAAUCGGAGCUGAUGGUACCGUAAGAAUAAGCAUCGGCUAACUCCGUGCCAGCAGCCGCGGUAAUACGGAGGGUGCGAGCGUUGUUCGGAAUUACUGGGCGUAAAGCGCGUGUAGGCUGCUUCGCAAGUCGGAUGUGAAAGCCCUGGGCUCAACCCAGGAAGUGCAUUCGAAACUGCAGAGCUGGAGUCCUGGAGAGGAAGGCG
Molecule: ribosomal RNA, 641 nt
Filed under: uncultured Flavobacteriales bacterium
Lineage: Bacteria; Pseudomonadati; Bacteroidota; Flavobacteriia; Flavobacteriales
Description: bacterial SSU rRNA
Rfam family: Bacterial small subunit ribosomal RNA
Source: RNAcentral